UCCCCCUUCUAUUUUCUACAAAAUUAUCUAUUACAUCAAAUCACAUUAGUAUCAAAGCUAGGUUACUACAAUCUCAAUUUUAAAAAUUCCAAGCAAUUAAUCUCCACCAGAUCUUAGAUGAGCUUAUCCUAGCUAAAAAAUAGGAGUGAAGCUUCCCUUUUUAUUUUACGUCGGAGUCAUAUCAUACCAUGAUCCUAGUUGAUUUAGUGAAAUCCACAUCGAUAAUCUCAUCCAAACUGUUCGAAUUGAAGAGAAUCAAAGGGAUUGCUUUCGUGGUUGAUGCUCAUCAUGUUCACUCACCCCAAUGUCAUGUUUGCCACAAGCUUUCAUGGCUUCACAAUCACUUACCUUUCGCCAUUGGAUGCACGAAGAAGAGCUCCAUGACAUUUUCUUUCAUCUUCGACCGUCAAGAGCUU
This 416-nucleotide long non-coding RNA is filed under the name Elaeis guineensis (African oil palm). Its description in RNAcentral is "long non-coding RNA (EGUI_LNC036199)". Lineage: Eukaryota; Viridiplantae; Streptophyta; Magnoliopsida; Arecales; Arecaceae. The record is from RNAcentral.